Syngnathoides biaculeatus (alligator pipefish) is the source of this 308-nucleotide long non-coding RNA. RefSeq lists it as uncharacterized. The record is from RefSeq and is a predicted model, not a curated record. Lineage: Eukaryota; Metazoa; Chordata; Actinopteri; Syngnathiformes; Syngnathidae. The transcript has 3 exons.
GUGACUUUUAUCGGUCCGGCCCUGUUAGCGCUGCGCUACUGUGUUACUGCCGUGUCUCAGCGAUUUUUACCGAAAGCGUGGCUCCAGCCCAUCUUGACGGCACCGACGAUGACGUUCUGCUUGAAGACGUCCGAGCCCAACUUCCUGUACAUCUGCUCGCAUUCUUCUAAGGGGAUCUGAAAAAUCCCCAGCAUGAAAGCCAGGAUGGCACCUAAAAUCCGAGAAAGAGGAGCUUGCCGAGUCAGGUUCUCCAGUUUGAGGAGAGUCUGCAGGGCCAGAAGUCCUCUGUGUAGAAACAGCAACCAAUC